GAUUGCCUACGGGGGGCAGCAGUGGGGAAUAUUGCGCAAUGGGGGAAACCCUGAUGCAGCAACGCCGCGUGAGUGAAGGAGUAUUUCGGUAUGUAAAGCUCUAUCAGUAGGGAAGAAGAAAGACGGUACCUGUAGAAUAAGCUCCGGCUAACUACGUGCCAGCAGCCGCGGUAAUACGUAGGGAGCAAGCGUUAUCCGGAUUUAUUGGGUGUAAAGGGUGCGUAGACGGGUAUAUAAGUUAGUUGUGAAAUCCCUCGGCUCAACUGAGGAACUGCAACUAAAACUGUAAAUCUUGAGUGCGGGAG
Molecule: ribosomal RNA, 305 nt
Filed under: uncultured bacterium
Lineage: Bacteria
Description: bacterial SSU rRNA
Rfam family: Bacterial small subunit ribosomal RNA
Source: RNAcentral